This 547-nucleotide ribosomal RNA is filed under the name uncultured soil bacterium. RNAcentral's name for it is "bacterial SSU rRNA". It matches the Rfam family "Bacterial small subunit ribosomal RNA", at positions 35 to 625 of the family's 1533-position model. The record is from RNAcentral.
GCUGGCGGCAGGCUUGAACACAUGCAAGUCGAGCGGAUGUAGCAAUACAUCAGCGGCAGACGGGUGAGUAACACGUGGGAACGUACCUUUUGGUUCGGAACAACACAGGGAAACUUGUGCUAAUACCGGAUAAGCCCUUACGGGGAAAGAUUUAUCGCCGAAAGAUCGGCCCGCGUCUGAUUAGCUAGUUGGUGAGGUAACGGCUCACCAAGGCGACGAUCAGUAGCUGGUCUGAGAGGAUGAUCAGCCACAUUGGGACUGAGACACGGCCCAAACUCCUACGGGAGGCAGCAGUGGGGAAUAUUGGACAAUGGGCGCAAGCCUGAUCCAGCCAUGCCGCGUGAGUGAUGAAGGCCCUAGGGUUGUAAAGCUCUUUUGUGCGGGAAGAUAAUGACGGUACCGCAAGAAUAAGCCCCGGCUAACUUCGUGCCAGCAGCCGCGGUAAUACGAAGGGGGCUAGCGUUGCUCGGAAUCACUGGGCGUAAAGGGUGCGUAGGCGGGUCUUUAAGUCAGGGGUGAAAUCCUGGAGCUCAACUCCAGAACUGCC